UACGAAGGGUGCGAGCGUUAUUCGGGUUUACUGGGCGUAAAGGGUGUGUAGGCGGCAUACUAAGUCAACUGUCAAAGCCCCCAGCCUAACUGGGGAUCGGCGGUAGAUACUGAUAUGCUAGAGGGUGGAAGAGAGAAGUGGAAUUCUUGGAGUAGAGGUAAAAUUCGUAGAUCUCAAGAGGAACACCAAUGGCGAAGGCAGCUUCUUGGUCCACAUCUGACGCUAAAACACGAAAGCGUGGGGAGCAAACAGG
Molecule: ribosomal RNA, 253 nt
Filed under: uncultured bacterium
Lineage: Bacteria
Description: partial 16S ribosomal RNA
Rfam family: Bacterial small subunit ribosomal RNA
Source: RNAcentral